UACGUGGGGUGCGAGCGUUAAUCGGAAUUACUGGGCGUAAAGCGUGCGCAGGCGGUGAUGUAAGACAGGUGUGAAAUCCCCGGGCUUAACCUGGGAACUGCAUUUGUGACUGCAUCGCUGGAGUGCGGCAGAGGGGGAUGGAAUUCCGCGUGUAGCAGUGAAAUGCGUAGAUAUCUGGAGGAACACCGGUGGCGAAGGCGGCAUCCUGGACCAUUAUUGACGCUGAGGAGCGAAAGCCAGGGGAGCAAACGGG
RNAcentral lists this ribosomal RNA (253 nucleotides) under uncultured bacterium. Its description in RNAcentral is "partial 16S ribosomal RNA". It matches the Rfam family "Bacterial small subunit ribosomal RNA", at positions 524 to 776 of the family's 1533-position model. The record is from RNAcentral.